UGUCAGGAGGUGCUUUCCUCUCUUACCUCGCAGCCCUAGGAUUCCUGGCAGUUUCGUGAGGCCACAGCUGGAACGCAGCUGCUGGGGGUGGAGUGAGUAGAACCCUUGGUAGGUCAGCAGGGUGAGUGAGGGCCCGGAAUGUUGGAAGGUUGGGAAAGUCCUUCCCUGAGCCAGGACUCAGGAAUGUGCUGGGGCCUCUGCUGAGAAAAUUUUCCAGAUGAGGGAGGGAUAGGGGAAGCUUUUGCCUUCUGGGUAGAUUUUUUUUAAUUGCCCCAGGGAGGUCGACUGUUUUGAAACUGUCUUUUAAAAGAAGCCAUGUGAAUGUUUAAAUUGACCUGGAAACAUCCUCCCUUUUCUGUCCCUGCCUUUGGAAUCUGUUCCGCUGAGCAGUAAUCAACAGGGACAUUUGCCUUAGGGUCUCUCUUCCUUCGCCUCUCUAAAUGUUUAAAAACUUAUUGUUGUUGUUGUUAUCUUUAGUUCGGGGAAACUUUUGGACGCUUUCCAGGCCGCAGCUAUAGAAGUUUCCAGGAAAAUGGAAAAGCAACAUUAGUGUUAUGAGCCUGUCUGGAUCCAGGGCCAGACGUGUUUUAUGGAGUGCCUGCAAGAGGGGCCACCAGGUCCUGGGAGAGCACCCAGCCAGGAAAAAAGGGCAGAUUCUGCCACACAUACCUGAGAGCAUCCUAAAGCCUGAGACCAACAUGGAGUUUAGACGGCCUGCCUCUUCUCCGCCGUAGAGGCAGGUGAGAAAACAGACUCAAUGAUUAAGGAAUGCAUCUCCAAACGCCCAGCUGGUAGGCGGUAGGCAAAAUCUGAAUUCAGCGUUAAUUCUGCCGACAGACCUGGGUUUGAGUCCUGAUUCAUGAGACACAUGCUGUCUAUCAAGCUUCUGCACCACCAGGUGUUCUCAGCGGAUUUCCUAUGUGGCAAUCCAUGGACAUCACAAAGAGACGCCCUCACUUUUUGAAGUUCAAGGCUGGGGCACGCCAUUCUAUUGCCAAGUCUACCUAAAAGGCCCUCAAAACAUACUACGCAAAUAAAUGAAUCAAAAUUUUCAGUUUCCUGCCUGUGCGUGGCUGUAACAUUAAUUACCCAUGUGGCAGACACUGUUGAUCAGCACCUAAGAGUCACUCUGUCAAACGGCAAGGUCUCAGCCUGAGAACGCAAAGCCCUUCACUUCUCCUCUGGCUGACCUUCAUCUCCCCAAAGCCCAGGACACACCCCUAAUGUGUACCAGGUGGCCGGAACUAACUCCAGCAGGAUGUGCCCUCUGGAGCCCCAGGCGGGUGGCAACAAGGACCUGGCAGGCCUGCUCAAGGUUGGAUCCCUAAGAGGCCCUUCCACCCCAGAUGACAAGCCACUUGUUGCCCCCAGGAUAAGGUCCAUGUCUUCAGCUCCAUGUCUGGUACAGGAGGCCAGCGGAUGAAGGGAGAGUAAAAUCAGGUCCCCACAGUCUGAUGUCUCUCCUCAGCCCCGGUACAGGUGCCCAGGAAAUCUCUACUGCGGAGCAAAGACUCAUGGACAGACACCCCGCGCUCCCGUGAGGGCCUGGAGUGGCUUUGUGCAUGUGCAAUCCCAAUACCGGGACCUGGACACAGGUGGAUCCCUGAGGCUUGAUGAUAGCCUCAUUUACUUGGUGAGCUCUUUGUACCUGUGAGAGACCUUGCCUCAGAAAAAUCAAGGUGCCUGGCAUUCCUGAGGGUGAUAUCUGAGCCUUACCACCGUCCUCAUGGCGUACUCAAACACACACAGAAGGAAAAAGCAAGUGAGGCUAUCAGGCUGUAUAACAGCAAGACACCGUUUUAUUAAUGAAACAAAAGGAGUCUUUAGGAGACGGAUAUCUGCCAAGGUGUUAACAGCUGAUUUUUGUUGUUUUCUUUUGGCUUAUCUGUAUUUCCGGUUUUUUUCAAUGAAUAUCAACUAUUUGCAUGGUUUUAAAGAGCAAUAAAAAUAAAUCAACUCCA
Molecule: long non-coding RNA, 1961 nt
Organism: Arvicola amphibius (Eurasian water vole)
Lineage: Eukaryota; Metazoa; Chordata; Mammalia; Rodentia; Cricetidae
Exons: 8
Source: RefSeq, a predicted model, not a curated record